GAGGCUAUAGCUCAGUGGUAGAGCGCAUGCUUAGUUAGCAUGCAUGAGGUCCUGGGUUCAAUCCCCAGUCCCUCCA
RNAcentral lists this transfer RNA (76 nucleotides) under Camelus bactrianus (Bactrian camel). It matches the Rfam family "tRNA". From Rfam's summary of the family: Transfer RNA (tRNA) molecules are approximately 80 nucleotides in length. The record is from Rfam by way of RNAcentral. RNAcentral also lists the same sequence under 2 other names. Lineage: Eukaryota; Metazoa; Chordata; Mammalia; Artiodactyla; Camelidae.